Molecule: ribosomal RNA, 476 nt
Filed under: uncultured organism
Description: partial 16S ribosomal RNA
Rfam family: Bacterial small subunit ribosomal RNA
Source: RNAcentral
CACUCCUACGGGAGGCAGCAGUGGGGAAUUUUGGACAAUGGGCGAAAGCCUGAUCCAGCAAUGCCGCGUGAGUGAAGAAGGCCUUCGGGUUGUAAAGCUCUUUUGUCAGGGAAGAAACGGUGAGAGCUAAUAUCUUUUGCUAAUGACGGUACCUGAAGAAUAAGCACCGGCUAACUACGUGCCAGCAGCCGCGGUAAUACGUAGGGUGCAAGCGUUAAUCGGAAUUACUGGGCGUAAAGCGUGCGCAGGCGGUUUUGUAAGUCUGAUGUGAAAUCCCCGGGCUCAACCUGGGAAUUGCAUUGGAGACUGCAAGGCUAGAAUCUGGCAGAGGGGGGUAGAAUUCCACGUGUAGCAGUGAAAUGCGUAGAUAUGUGGAGGAACACCGAUGGCGAAGGCAGCCCCCUGGGUCAAGAUUGACGCUCAUGCACGAAAGCGUGGGGAGCAAACAGGAUUAGAAACCCUAGUAGUCCCAUGAU